Molecule: ribosomal RNA, 1017 nt
Filed under: uncultured Basidiomycota
Lineage: Eukaryota; Fungi; Basidiomycota
Description: eukaryotic LSU rRNA
Rfam family: Eukaryotic large subunit ribosomal RNA (bases 570-1017)
Source: RNAcentral
CUUGGUCAUUUAGAGGAAGUAAAAGUCGUAACAAGGUUUCCGUAGGUGAACCUGCGGAAGGAUCAUUAUUGAAUGAAACUUCUGGCUGGAUGCUGUUGUGCUGGCCCUUUGUGGCAAUGUGCACGCCUUCUGGUCAUUUGUGUUUCUUCUGUUCCACCUGUGCACUGACUGUAGACACACUGUGUCUAUGAUAUUGGUUACACACACACAAUGUUAUGUUGGCAUGUAUAUAUUAUUUAUAUAAAUACAACUUUCAACAAUGGAUCUCUUGGCUCUCGCAUCGAUGAAGAACACAGCGAAAUGUGAUAAGUAAUGUGAAUUGCAGAAUCCAGUGAAUCAUCGAAUCUUUGAACGCAUCUUGCGCUCCUUGGCAUUCCGAGGAGCAUGCCUGUUUGAGUGUCAUUAAACUAUCAAAACACUUUUUUUAAUAUAUAGUUAAGAAAAAGUGUUUUGGACUUUGGGAGUAUUGUGCUGGCCUGUUUGAGCCAGCUCUCCUCAAAAGCAUUAGCUUUGGAGACCAUCAGUGUGAUAAUUUGUUUACACUGGCUUCUCCUUUUAAAUGCACCCUUUGACCUCAAAUCAGGUAGGACUACCCGCUGAACUUAAGCAUAUCAAUAAGCGGAGGAAAAGAAACUAACAAGGAUUCCCCUAGUAACUGCGAGUGAAGCGGGAAAAGCUCAAAUUUGAAAUCUGGCAGUCUUUUUUUUCUUCUUUGGCUGUCCGAGUUGUAAUCUAGAGAAGUGCUUACCUGCACUGGACCAUGUAUAAGUCUCCUGGAAUGGAGCGUCACAGAGGGUGAGAAUCCCGUCUUUGACAUGGACUGCCAGUGUGUUGUGGUGUGCUCUCAAAGAGUCGAGUUGUUUGGGAAUGCAGCUCUAAAUGGGUGGUAAACUCCAUCUAAAGCUAAAUAUUGGCGAGAGACCGAUAGUGAACAAGUACCGUGAGGGAAAGAUGAAAAGGACUUUGGAAAGAGAGUUAAACAGUAUGUGAAAUUGUUGAAAGGGAAACGCUUGAAGU